GUGAUUCUCUCUGGUCUCCACUUUCAACAGGACUGGGCAGCACAUAUACUAAAAUUGGAAUGAUACAGAGAUUAGCAUGGCCCCUGUGCAAGGAUGACAUACAAAUUCAUGAGCCGUUCAUUUUUUAG
Molecule: small nuclear RNA, 128 nt
Filed under: Jaculus jaculus (lesser Egyptian jerboa)
Lineage: Eukaryota; Metazoa; Chordata; Mammalia; Rodentia; Dipodidae
Source: RNAcentral